RNAcentral lists this ribosomal RNA (253 nucleotides) under uncultured bacterium. RNAcentral describes it as "partial 16S ribosomal RNA". It matches the Rfam family "Bacterial small subunit ribosomal RNA", at positions 524 to 776 of the family's 1533-position model. The record is from RNAcentral.
UACGGAGGGUGCGAGCGUUGUCCGGAAUCACUGGGCGUAAAGGGCGCGUAGGCGGCUUGAUAAGUAGGGGGUGAAAUCCUGCGGCUUAACCGCAGGGCUGCCUUCUAAACUGUCAGGCUUGAGCACAGUAGAGGCAGGUGGAAUUCUCGGUGUAGCGGUGAAAUGCGUAGAUAUCGAGAGGAACACCUGCGGCGAAGGCGGGUUGCUGGGCCGACACUGACGCUGAUGCGCGAAAGCCAGGGGAGCGAACGGG